GGUUGAAGAUUGGAGGUGGUGGUGAUGUGUGCUGGUUAUGGUGGAUGGUGAUUAUCUCGAAAUUCAUCUUCUAGAUUUCAUCUUUCUCAAUUUGUGAAUAUUAAUCUCUCUAAUUGGUUUUUUGUGUUGGUUUUUUGCAGGCUCUAUGAAAGAGGCAGCUCAGUUUCAAUUUUUGGGCUCUCAAUUUUAGGUUUGGUUUAUGUUUUUCUGUUUCUUUGCUGGGUUUUCUUCUAUUUUUCCUGUAUCAUUCUUGCUGAUUUGUUCAUCAUCUUUUUGCAAAGAAAUAGAAGCCUCAUCCCAUCAAUUUGAGUUAUAGUUAUUUGGAUUAAAUAUACAUUCUACUUAACUUACAAACAAUAGAAGUUUUAUCAUGUCAUUAUCUUCUUGAUUAUGAAUGAUGACAAAUUUAAUAAGUUUGAUUGAUGGAACAAUGACAAAUUUAAAAGUUUGAAACAAUUUUUAGUGUUUUAAUAAGUAUGAAACAAUUUCUUUCUCAUGGUAAAUAAUCUCUUUUAUUGUUAUAGGUAAAAGAUGAUUUGUUGUAUGUACCAGAGAAGGUAGACC
RNAcentral lists this long non-coding RNA (564 nucleotides) under Trifolium pratense (red clover). Its description in RNAcentral is "long non-coding RNA (TPRA_LNC013945)". Lineage: Eukaryota; Viridiplantae; Streptophyta; Magnoliopsida; Fabales; Fabaceae. The record is from RNAcentral.